RNAcentral lists this long non-coding RNA (1036 nucleotides) under Equus caballus (horse). RNAcentral's name for it is "lncRNA (ENSECAG00000055796.1)". The record is from RNAcentral. Lineage: Eukaryota; Metazoa; Chordata; Mammalia; Perissodactyla; Equidae.
CCUCUGAGAUGACUCGGGGACAGUGCUGGAGGAGCUGGAGGUCUGCGUUUACUAGCACCCAGAGGGUGCUCUGCACACAGUGGCUCUGAUUUAUGAAAUGGGGCUGUGGGUGGGCUGCGUAAGUGGACUAGUGGUUGGUUGAUGUUAUGGAUGGGCAGUUAGGGGUCCCGCGGGCAGGUUGGAAUUGUGCUGAGGAGCUGACUGGGUGCCGAGUGGGCUGGCCAGCAGUUGGGUUGGUAGGCUGGGCAUCAGAGAGAGAUAGGCCUGGUGAAGGCUGAGUGGGUGUGGGCCAGAGAUGCCCUAAGUAGGGUGUUCACUUGGGUAGCCAGAUGGGAAGCACACACCCCAGGCUGUAGCUGAGCAGGCAGGGUCACCCAUGGUGGACAGGUUUCAGCAGAGCUUCCAGACCAGACAGACUAAGAAGAAGGACCUGGACACCCACUUCUGAAAAACAUUGGCCAUGAAAAUCCUAUGAAUAGCAGCAAAGCAUUGUCUGAUAUAAUGCCGCAAGGUGAGGGGACGGCGCAAAAAGACCGGGCAGGGUUCCGCUCUGCUGUGCACAGGGUCACUAGGAGUCAGAAUCAACCUGACGGCACUAAGAGGUGGCAGAAAUGGCCACCAGCAGCUGAAAGCUCGCGUCCUCUCUGCUUAGCAACCCCAGUUGAAAGCAAUGUCCACAUCCCCAAACACUUAGCAAAUUUCCAGAAGAUGCUCACAGGCUUUGGUUGGUCAGGUUUGGGUCAUGAAACUCCUGCUGAGUUAGUCACCAUAUCCAGAGGAGGCGGAAUUCUGGGUUGCCCUUGCAGCCCACAGCAGGAACAGCAGCUGCCCGCCGCAGAAUCGGAGGCUCGGUGUCCUCUUCGGUAAAAGGGGAAUGCGACCCGCACUCAGUCAGGGCGGCAGUGGGGAACGGAAGCAUCGUGACAGCCCUAAGCCACUGGAAAGAGGAAGGAAGGAAAUGAGGUGCCUGUGGUCAGCCCUUCAUCUGGGGACCUCUGAUAUCACACCACCACCUCUUGUUGAAAGACAGACCCAC